RNAcentral lists this ribosomal RNA (484 nucleotides) under uncultured bacterium. RNAcentral's name for it is "bacterial SSU rRNA". It matches the Rfam family "Bacterial small subunit ribosomal RNA", at positions 29 to 487 of the family's 1533-position model. The record is from RNAcentral.
AACUAACGCUGGCGGCGUGCCUAACACAUGCAAGUCGUACGAGAAAGUUGGCUUCGGCCGAUGAGUACAGUGGCGCACGGGUGAGUAACGCGUGGAUAAUCUGCCCUUAAGUGUGGAAUAACGUACCGAAAGGUGCGCUAAUACCGCAUAAUGCCUGGCAACAUAAGUUGUCCGGCCAAAGAAGGCCUCUGCUUGCAAGCUUUCGCUAAAGGAUGAGUCCGCGUACCAUUAGCUAGUUGGUGGGGUAACGGCCUACCAAGGCGACGAUGGUUAGCUGGUCUGAGAGGAUGAUCAGCCACACUGGAACUGAGACACGGUCCAGACUCCUACGGGAGGCAGCAGUGAGGAAUAUUGCGCAAUGGGGGCAACCCUGACGCAGCAACGCCGCGUGAGUGAGGAAGGUUUUCGGACUGUAAAGCUCUGUCGAGCGGGAAGAAGGUGUACCAUGGCUAAUAUCCAUGAUAUUUGACGGUACCGCUAGAGG